Molecule: ribosomal RNA, 252 nt
Filed under: uncultured bacterium
Lineage: Bacteria
Description: partial 16S ribosomal RNA
Rfam family: Bacterial small subunit ribosomal RNA
Source: RNAcentral
UACGGAGGAUGCGAGCGUUAUCCGGAUUUAUUGGGUUUAAGGGGUGCGUAGGCGGGCUUUUAAGUCAGCGAUAAAAAUUCGGGGCUCAACCCCGUCCGGCCGUUGAAACUGGGGGCCUUGAGUGGGCGAGAAGAAGGCGGAAUGCGUGGUGUAGCGGUGAAAUGCAUAGAUAUCACGCAGAACCCCGAUUGCGAAGGCAGCCUUCCGGCGCCCUACUGACGCUGAGGCACGAAAGUGCGGGGAUCGAACAGG